ACACACACACACACACACACACACACACACUUUGCAUUAGCAGCUCAUGCUUCAGUGCUCUGAGAGACUUUAUAGCUCUGUGACUUUAACACUUCAUGACUGAAAGCUGCUGCUCAGCGACUUCACCCACAGCAACCAUGAGUUUGAUCUUCAUCUUCAUCUGCACACUGGCCCUCUGCACUCGAGGAUCCAGAGCUCAGACUGUGACUCAGAGUCCUGCAGUAAAAUCUGUUUCUCCAGGAGGCACGCUCACCAUCAGCUGUAAAACCAGUGUUGAUGUUUAUUCUAACUAUUUCUCCUGGUACCAGCAGAAACCUGGAGAAGCUCCUAAACUCUUGAUUAAAUAUAUUAGCACUAGACAAUCAGGAAUUCCAGAUCGUUUCAGUGGCAGUGGAUCUGGAUCUGAUUUCACUCUGACCAUCAGUAGAGUCCAGACUGAAGAUGCCGCAGAUUAUUACUGUAUGUAUGUACCUAAUGUCAGUGGCUGGAUGUUCACACAGUGUUUUAUCGCCGUACAAAAACCUCAGCGAGUGUGACUGCUGCAGCAGGGACCUUCUGCAGGUGCUGAGGGGGAUUUACAGUACAAUGACUCCCUCUAGACUGAGUCAUGCAGCUACAAUCUAGCAGCAGCAUGGCUGCUCUAAAUGAUUGGUGUAACACAUACAGGAGAUCUAAGGCCUAACAAAGACAGAAAUGUUACAGGACUUUUCUGUAAAUGUUUUUAACAUGGAUGCAUGUAAGUGAAAAAAUCCAGGUUGUCUCAAAAGAUGUAUUGUAUUGAUUGAUAGAUAUUUGGCCACUGUGUGACUAUACCCCAUACUGCAGAAAAACAAACCCAAUAUACUACUAUCCUUUAAGUCCUGUACACCUCUUAAUGUUUUUUCUCAACCUCUAGCAUGGACCACUAGACACUCAGAUGCAAACUGCUUUCCUUCAUUCUAUCUUUCACAUAAACAGUCCCACUGGUUUCACUAUGAAUAUCGACAGUCAUUUUGUAGAAAUGUACAUGACAAAUAAUAUAAAGAUGAAAACAAUCACAUUUAAGACAGAUGUUUUUGUUCUCUCCAUUAAAAAAUGGGGAUGCUCCCUUUGGUUGAGGGUAAAAGCCUUGAAAUGCAAACCUUGCUAGUGAUGGAAUAAAGACAAUGAACAAGUCAGUGAAUGCAGUGUUACAG
Silurus meridionalis is the source of this 1175-nucleotide non-coding RNA. The record is from the annotation of a RefSeq genome assembly. Lineage: Eukaryota; Metazoa; Chordata; Actinopteri; Siluriformes; Siluridae.